GUGGCUCGAGGACGAACGCGUGGCGGCGUGCUUAACACAUGCAAGUCGAACGGGAGUAUUGAAGAAGCUUGCUUUAGAGAUACUUAGUGGCGGACGGGUGAGUAACGCGUGAGGAGCUGUCCUAUGCAGGGGGACAACAGCUGGAAACGGCUGCUAAUACCCCAUAAGCCGAGAGGUAAAAGGAUCAAUCCGGCAGAGGAGGUACUCGCGUCCUAUCAGCUAGUAGGUGAGGUAACGGCUCACCUAGGCGAAGACGGGUAGCCGGCCUGAGAGGGCGAACGGCCACACUGGAACUGAGAUACGGUCCAGACUCCUACGGGAGGCAGCAGUGGGGAAUAUUGGGCAAUGGGGGAAACCCUGACCCAGCGACGCCGCGUGGGUGAAGAAAUCCUUCGGGAUGUAAAGCCCUGUUGUAUGGGAAGAGCGGAAGACGGUACCAUACGAGGAAGCCCCGGCAAACUACGUGCCAGCAGCGGC
Molecule: ribosomal RNA, 477 nt
Filed under: uncultured bacterium
Lineage: Bacteria
Description: bacterial SSU rRNA
Rfam family: Bacterial small subunit ribosomal RNA
Source: RNAcentral